UGAAACGAUUAUCCCAAAGCCUCUUUCACAUUCGUUCAUAAAUCAAAGAAUAUCAGGCAGCUCAACAUAAUUAAUGGCUCCAUCUGAGUAGUGAUUGUGCACUAGAUUUCUGCUUUCUUGAUUGCACAAAGCUUGAGCAAGUUUGGAUUUUAGAGUACCACAAGGAAUGAACAUCUGAUAUGGUCAUCACUGUUUCCUGCAGGAAGAUAACCAGAAUUGUAUGAGCCUCUGGUCUACAAAGCCUUCAUCUUCUCUGAUUUGUAAAGAAUGACCAGUUAUCAACGCCUUUAUCUGUUCUACCACUAAUCUGCCUAUUUGGAUCUCUUGCCACUGCAAACUCUAGAACUCCUGUACCUUAGAAACCUCUGCCCUACUGAUAGCAGCUUGCCUGUACGUUUCUGUUUUAAACUGCCUUCUCAGUAAGUAGUGACUU
RNAcentral lists this long non-coding RNA (433 nucleotides) under Macaca mulatta (Rhesus monkey). Its description in RNAcentral is "lncRNA (ENSMMUG00000043815.2)". The record is from RNAcentral. Lineage: Eukaryota; Metazoa; Chordata; Mammalia; Primates; Cercopithecidae.